This 378-nucleotide ribosomal RNA is filed under the name uncultured bacterium. Its description in RNAcentral is "bacterial SSU rRNA". It matches the Rfam family "Bacterial small subunit ribosomal RNA", at positions 521 to 896 of the family's 1533-position model. The record is from RNAcentral.
UAAUACGGAGGGGGCAAGCGUUGUUCGGAUUUACUGGGCGUAAAGGGAGCGUAGGCGGUUAGUCAAGUUCGGUGUGAAAGCUUUACCACUCAACGGAAAGAGGUCAUCGAAAACUGGCUGGCUAGAGUAGGGUAGAGGCAAGCGGAAUUCCUGGUGUAGCGGUGGAAUGUGUAGAUAUCAGGAAGAACAUCGGUGGCGAAGGCGGCUUGCUGGGCCCUCACUGACGCUGAAGCUCGAAAGCGUGGGGAGCAAACGGGAUUAGAUACCCCGGUAGUCCACGCUGUAAACGGUGCGCACUAGGUGUGGGGGGUAUCGACCCCUCCCGUGCCGUAGUUAACACAUUAAGUGCGCCGCCUGGGGAGUACGGCCGCAAGGUUG